Molecule: microRNA, 21 nt
Filed under: Gorilla gorilla (western gorilla)
Lineage: Eukaryota; Metazoa; Chordata; Mammalia; Primates; Hominidae
Also listed under: 2 other names
Description: ggo-miR-383
Gene: ggo-miR-383
Source: miRBase by way of RNAcentral
AGAUCAGAAGGUGAUUGUGGC